Molecule: transfer RNA, 65 nt
Filed under: Nasonia longicornis
Lineage: Eukaryota; Metazoa; Arthropoda; Insecta; Hymenoptera; Pteromalidae
Description: tRNA-Thr
Source: RNAcentral
UAGUUAUUAAUUUAAAUAAAAUAUUAAUUUUGUAAAUUAAUAAUAAGAAUAUUUCUUAUAACUAA